CCUACGGGUGGCAGCAGUGGGGAAUAUUGCACAAUGGGGGGAACCCUGAUGCAGCGACGCCGCGUGGGUGAAGGAGUAUUUCGGUAUGUAAAGCCCUAUCAGCAGGGAAGAACAAUGACGGUACCUGACUAAGAAGCACCGGCUAAAUACGUGCCAGCAGCCGCGGUAAUACGGAGGAUGCGAGCGUUAUCCGGAUUUAUUGGGUUUAAAGGGUGCGUAGGCGGAUUUUUAAGUCAGCGGUAAAAUGUCCGGGCUCAACCCGGGCCGGCCGUUGAAACUGGGGAUCUUGAGUGGGCGAGAAGUAUGGGGAAGGGGGGGGGUGGCGGUGAAAUGCAUAGAUAUCACGCAGAACUCCGAUGGCGAAGGCAGCAUACCGGCGCCCGACGGACGCUGAGGCACGAAAGCGUGGGGAUCGAACAGGAUUAGAUACCCUUGUAGU
Molecule: ribosomal RNA, 439 nt
Filed under: uncultured bacterium
Lineage: Bacteria
Description: partial 16S ribosomal RNA
Rfam family: Bacterial small subunit ribosomal RNA
Source: RNAcentral